UACGAAGGGGGCUAGCGUUGCUCGGAAUCACUGGGCGUAAAGGGUGCGUAGGCGGGUCUUUAAGUCAGGGGUGAAAUCCUGGAGCUCAACUCCAGAACUGCCUUUGAUACUGAAGAUCUUGAGUCCGGGAGAGGUGAGUGGAACUGCGAGUGUAGAGGUGAAAUUCGUAGAUAUUCGCAAGAACACCAGUGGCGAAGGCGGCUCACUGGCCCGGUACUGACGCUGAGGCGCGAAAGCGUGGGGAGCAAACAGG
Molecule: ribosomal RNA, 253 nt
Filed under: uncultured bacterium
Lineage: Bacteria
Description: partial 16S ribosomal RNA
Rfam family: Bacterial small subunit ribosomal RNA
Source: RNAcentral